RNAcentral lists this unclassified non-coding RNA (242 nucleotides) under Glomus sp. RNAcentral describes it as "partial contains 5.8S ribosomal RNA and internal transcribed spacer 2". The stretch from base 1 to 65 matches the Rfam family "5.8S ribosomal RNA", at positions 84 to 154 of the family's 154-position model. Lineage: Eukaryota; Fungi; Glomeromycota; Glomeromycetes; Glomerales; Glomeraceae. The record is from RNAcentral.
GUGAAUCAUCAAAUUUUUGAACGCAAAUUGCACUCUCCUCGGAGAGUAUGCCUGUUCGAGGGUCAGCCUAUAAAAAAUCGAAAUCGGUGCUGUUUCGCGGCGGCGUUCGUCGGAAAUUGGGUCAUCUUAAAUCCUUUUGCUUUAAGCGACUCAAAAUUUUCUUUUGGUUCCUUGAACGUUUCUAAGAUCUAUUUCUUUACAUGUUCAAGGUAUCGAUUUUUAUUCGAUGUGACUCUCAUAUC